This is an RNA transcript of Trifolium pratense (red clover), 1012 nucleotides long. RefSeq lists it as uncharacterized. The transcript has 8 exons. The record is from RefSeq and is a predicted model, not a curated record. Lineage: Eukaryota; Viridiplantae; Streptophyta; Magnoliopsida; Fabales; Fabaceae.
GUUUGCCAAACAAAUCAAUUAAGCGCGCGCACACACAGAGACGCCAUGCACUCCGACUCCUCCGACGACAUGCUUGCCAUAGUGGUUCCCGCCGAUGACGAAUCUUACCCAUUCAUUCGCUCUAUGGCAAACUACGCCGCAAGCAAACUUUCUUCUCUCUCGGAAUCCGAUAUAUCCCUCCUCGCCGACGAUGCUUUAUCUCGCCUAAUCGAGUACGAGUUAAAUCGCCUACCUGAAGACGAGUUAAAUCGUCUCGCCGAUGCCGCGGUUUCUCCCUUCUUACCUAUCGCCGAAUCCAUCAUAGCUAGUAUUUUCUCCCCUUUUCAUAGUAAACCCGAACACAAAGAAGGAGAACAAUCCUCCGUAACCUUCCCUCAGUUGGCUUUCUAUUUUGUUACCUCAUUUCUUCAGUGUUUCGCCGGCGUCGCUGCCAUGGGAUCUAUAGCUAUUGUCUUGGAAAUUUUCUUCAAGCGGUUGGGCAAAAAAUUGUCAUCUUUUAAACUGAGACAUGAGGUCAUUGUCCCUAUCAUUGCUACUCAGGAGGAGAAACUGAAACUUUCAAAGAGGUCCAUCUUUUUGUCUAAAACUAAAUAUUCAAGAACUCUUGAUUUGAAGGGUCUUAAAGGCAUCGGAGAAACCUACAUUCAAGAAACUGACACAGGCUUUAGACAGGGUCUUAAAGGCAUUGGAGAAACCUACAUUCAAGAAACUGACACGGCUUUAGACAGAUGAUGAUCCAAGAGUCUUUUGUGAAUGAAGAGUCUUUCCCCUUGCUCGUGAUUGCACCCAUGAUGUAAAAAGAAUCAGAUUAGGGGAAAAGAAGUUUGCUCUGAAGUUAGUAAUGGAAAAUUUCAUUAAAGCUGUAAUUUCCAUAACCGUUAUAGAAUUAGUUGUAUUAAUACUUUAUUUGGUACCUGGAGGCCAUUACAUUUUAACUGCAGGUGUACUUUGCAACUUGUAAUAAAUUUUAUUUUUAUUUAAAAAUGAUAAAUUAUUAUAGAUAAAUAUUUUA